This 301-nucleotide ribosomal RNA is filed under the name uncultured bacterium. Its description in RNAcentral is "partial 16S ribosomal RNA". It matches the Rfam family "Bacterial small subunit ribosomal RNA", at positions 509 to 807 of the family's 1533-position model. The record is from RNAcentral.
CAGUAGCCGCGGGAAUACGUAGGGUGCAAGCGUUAAUCGGAAUUACUGGGCGUAAAGCGUGCGCAGGCGGUCCGCUAAGACAGAUGUGAAAUCCCCGGGCUUAACCUGGGAACUGCAUUUGUGACUGGCGGGCUAGAGUAUGGCAGAGGGGGGUAGAAUUCCACGUGUAGCAGUGAAAUGCGUAGAGAUGUGGAGGAAUACCGAUGGCGAAGGCAGCCCCCUGGGCCAAUACUGACGCUCAUGCACGAAAGCGUGGGGAGCAAACAGGAUUAGAUACCCGCGUAGUCCCUGUCUCUUAUAC